RNAcentral lists this ribosomal RNA (449 nucleotides) under uncultured bacterium. RNAcentral's name for it is "partial 16S ribosomal RNA". It matches the Rfam family "Bacterial small subunit ribosomal RNA", at positions 29 to 523 of the family's 1533-position model. The record is from RNAcentral.
AACGAACGCUGGCGGCAGGCUUAACACAUGCAAGUCGAACGCAUCCUUCGGGGUGAGUGUCAGACGGGUGAGUAACGCGUGGGAAUCUACCUCUUGCUACGGGCUAGCUCCGGGAAACUGGAAUUACUACCGUAUGUGGCCUAUGGGCGAAAGAUUUAUCGGCAAGGGAUGAGCCCGCGUUGGAUUAGCUAGUUGGUGGGGUAAAGGCCUACCAAUGCGACGAUCCAUAGCUGGUCUGAGAGGAUGAUCAGCCACAUUGGGACUGAGACACGGCCCAAACGCCUACUGGAGGCAGCAGUGGGGAAUAUGGGACAAUGGUGGCAAGCCUGAUCCAGCCAUGCCGCGUGAGUGAUGAAGGUCUUAGGAUUGUAAGGCUCUACAACCGGGGACGAUAAUGACGGUACCCGGAGAAGAAGCCCCGGCUAACUUCGUGCCAGCCGCCGCCGUAA